Molecule: ribosomal RNA, 253 nt
Filed under: uncultured bacterium
Lineage: Bacteria
Description: partial 16S ribosomal RNA
Rfam family: Bacterial small subunit ribosomal RNA
Source: RNAcentral
UACGGAGGGAGCUAGCGUUGUUCGGAAUUACUGGGCGUAAAGCGCACGUAGGCGGCUUUUUAAGUCAGGGGUGAAAUCCCGGGGCUCAACCCCGGAACUGCCCUUGAAACUGGAGAGCUAGAAUCUUGGAGAGGCGAGUGGAAUUCCGAGUGUAGAGGUGAAAUUCGUAGGUAUUCGGAAGAACACCAGUGGCGAAGGCGACUCGCUGGACAAGUAUUGACGCUGAGGUGCGAAAGCGUGGGGAGCAAACAGG